CUCCAACAGGAACCAGGGGAGCUGUUCAUUGAAUUCGGGCUGUCAGUGCCAGUAUUACCGUACACUCCGAUCUCCGCUUCUCUUAUUCUGACGGUUCCGGCCG
This is a long non-coding RNA of Nanorana parkeri, 103 nucleotides long. RefSeq lists it as uncharacterized. NCBI's taxonomy places the organism in Eukaryota, Metazoa, Chordata, Amphibia, Anura, Dicroglossidae. The record is from RefSeq and is a predicted model, not a curated record. The transcript has 3 exons.